GCCCAGAUAGCUCAGUUGGUAGAGCAAAGGACUGAAAAUCCUUGUGUCGCUGGUUCGAUUCCUGCUCUGGGCA
This 73-nucleotide transfer RNA is filed under the name Alphaproteobacteria bacterium 40-19. RNAcentral's name for it is "tRNA-Phe". It matches the Rfam family "tRNA". Rfam says of the family: Transfer RNA (tRNA) molecules are approximately 80 nucleotides in length. Their secondary structure includes four short double-helical elements and three loops (D, anti-codon, and T loops). Further hydrogen bonds mediate the characteristic L-shaped molecular structure. tRNAs have two regions of fundamental functional importance: the anti-codon, which is responsible for specific mRNA codon recognition, and the 3' end, to which the tRNAs corresponding amino acid is attached (by aminoacyl-tRNA synthetases). tRNAs cope with the degeneracy of the genetic code in two manners: having more than one tRNA (with a specific anti-codon) for a particular amino acid; and 'wobble' base-pairing, i.e. permitting non-standard base-pairing at the 3rd anti-codon position. The record is from RNAcentral. Lineage: Bacteria; Pseudomonadati; Pseudomonadota; Alphaproteobacteria.